AUCCCUUCGGGGUGAUUUGUUGGACGCUAGCGGCGGAUGGGUGAGUAACACGUGGGCAAUCUGCCCUAAAGACUGGGAUACCACUUGGAAACAGGUGCUAAUACCGGAUAACAACAUGAAUCGCAUGAUUCAAGUUUGAAAGGCGGCGCAAGCUGUCACUUUAGGAUGAGCCCGCGGCGCAUUAGCUAGUUGGUGGGGUAAAGGCCUACCAAGGCAAUGAUGCGUAGCCGAGUUGAGAGACUGAUCGGCCACAUUGGGACUGAGACACGGCCCAAACUCCUACGGGAGGCAGCAGUAGGGAAUCUUCCACAAUGGACGCAAGUCUGAUGGAGCAACGCCGCGUGAGUGAAGAAGGUUUUCGGAUCGUAAAGCUCUGUUGUUGGUGAAGAAGGAUAGAGGCAGUAACUGGUCUUUAUUUGACGGUAAUCAACCAGAAAGUCACGGCUAACUACGUGCCAGCAGCCGCGGUAAUACGUAGGUGGCAAGCGUUGUCCGGAUUUAUUGGGCGUAAAGCGAGCGCAGGCGGAAUGAUAAGUCUGAUGUGAAAGCCCACGGCUCAACCGUGGAACUGCAUCGGAAACUGUCAUUCUUGAGUGCAGAAGAGGAGAGUGGAAUUCCAUGUGUAGCGGUGGAAUGCGUAGAUAUAUGGAAGAACAGCA
This 659-nucleotide ribosomal RNA is filed under the name Lactobacillus delbrueckii subsp. bulgaricus. Its description in RNAcentral is "bacterial SSU rRNA". It matches the Rfam family "Bacterial small subunit ribosomal RNA", at positions 71 to 711 of the family's 1533-position model. The record is from RNAcentral. Lineage: Bacteria; Bacillati; Bacillota; Bacilli; Lactobacillales; Lactobacillaceae.